CCUACGGGUGGCAGCAGUGGGGAAUAUUGGACAAUGGGCGAAAGCCUGAUCCAGCCAUGCCGCGUGUGUGAAGAAGGCCUUCGGGUUGUAAAGCACUUUCAGUGGGGAAGAAAGCCUUGGGGCUAAUACCCUCGAGGAAGGACAUCACCCACAGAAGAAGCACCGGCUAACUCCGUGCCAGCAGCCGCGGUAAUACGGAGGGUGCGAGCGUUAAUCGGAAUUACUGGGCGUAAAGCGCGCGUAGGCGGUCUGAUAAGCCGGUUGUGAAAGCCCCGGGCUCAACCUGGGAACGGCAUCCGGAACUGUCAGGCUAGAGUGCAGGGGAGGAAGGUAGAAUUCCCGGUGUAGCGGUGAAAUGCGUAGAGAUCGGGAGGAAUACCAGUGGCGAAGGCGGCCUUCUGGACUGACACUGACGCUGAGGUGCGAAAGCGUGGGUAGCAAACAGGAUUAGAUACCCUUGUAGU
This 464-nucleotide ribosomal RNA is filed under the name Vreelandella stevensii. RNAcentral describes it as "partial 16S ribosomal RNA". It matches the Rfam family "Bacterial small subunit ribosomal RNA", at positions 338 to 794 of the family's 1533-position model. Lineage: Bacteria; Pseudomonadati; Pseudomonadota; Gammaproteobacteria; Oceanospirillales; Halomonadaceae. The record is from RNAcentral.